CCUACGGGGGGCAGCAGUAGGGAAUAUUGCACAAUGGGGGAAACCCUGAUGCAGCGAUGCCGCGUGGAGGAAGAAGGUUUUCGGAUUGUAAACUCCUUUUAUCAGGGACGAUAAUGACGGUACCUGAAGAAAAAGCUCCGGCUAACUCCGUGCCAGCAGCCGCGGUAAUACGGAGGAUGCGAGCGUUAUCCGGAUUUAUUGGGUUUAAAGGGUGCGCAGGCGGAAUGUCAAGUCAGCGGUAAAAUUUCGGGGCUCAACCCCGUCGUGCCGUUGAAACUGGCGUUCUUGAGUGAGCGAGAAGUAUGCGGAAUGCGUGGUGUAGCGGUGAAAUGCAUAGAUAUCACGCAGAACUCCGAUUGCGAAGGCAGCAUACCGGCGCUCAACUGACGCUCAUGCACGAAAGCGUGGGUAUCGAACAGGAUUAGAUACCCUUGUAGUC
This 439-nucleotide ribosomal RNA is filed under the name uncultured bacterium. Its description in RNAcentral is "partial 16S ribosomal RNA". It matches the Rfam family "Bacterial small subunit ribosomal RNA", at positions 338 to 795 of the family's 1533-position model. The record is from RNAcentral.